UACUAGAGUAGCACUCGCAUAUCAAUAAGCGGAGGAAAAGAAACUAACAAGGAUUCCCCUAGUAACGGCGAGUGAAGCGGGAAGAGCUCAAAUUUGAAAUCUUAAAGGGUUUCCCUUUACGAAUUGUAGUUUAAAGAAGUGUUUUCUGUUGAGGUUUUGGUAAAAGUUCUUUGGAAUAGGACAUCAUAGAGGGUGAGAAUCCCGUAUUUGACCUUUACUUUCAACUUUGUGAUACACUUUCAAAGAGUCGGAUUGUUUGGGAAUGCAGUCCAAAAUGGGUGGUAAAUUUCAUCUAAAGCUAAAUAUUGGCGAGAGACCGAUAGCGAACAAGUACCGUGAGGGAAAGAUGAAAAGAACUUUGAAAAGAGAGUUAAACAGUACGUGAAAUUGUCAAAAGGGAAGCGUUUGACACCAGUGUUGUUUUUCUGAAAAUCAAUUAAAGAACUGUUUAUGCUAAGUUGUUUAGACUUUAUCAGCUAACUGUUUAGUUUUGAGCUUUUCUUUAAUGCACUUUUCAGUUAACAAGUCAACAUCAAUUUCUUUUGCUGUAAAAAAGUCUUGAGGAAGGUGGCUUGAGAUUCGUCUUAAGUGUUUAUAGCCUCUUGCCUAUGCAGUCGGAGAGAUUGAGGUCUGCAGCGUAGAUCCUUCGGGGCUAAAUGCAUUUGUGCUAAGUUAUAGCAUUUUAUAGACAACUUGUUGACUAUGAUUUGUCUUGUAGCUUACUCGCUUAUGUUAUUUUACCUACGCUUAGGAUGUUGAGCGCAUGUCUCUCUCU
RNAcentral lists this ribosomal RNA (775 nucleotides) under uncultured Neocallimastigales. RNAcentral describes it as "partial large subunit ribosomal RNA". It matches the Rfam family "Eukaryotic large subunit ribosomal RNA", at positions 20 to 616 of the family's 3401-position model. Lineage: Eukaryota; Fungi; Neocallimastigomycota; Neocallimastigomycetes; Neocallimastigales. The record is from RNAcentral.